GACGAACGCUGGCGGCGUGCUUAACACAUGCAAGUCGAACGGAAAGGCCCUGCUUUUGUGGGGUGCUCGAGUGGCGAACGGGUGAGUAACACGUGAGUAACCUGCCCUUGACUUUGGGAUAACUUCAGGAAACUGGGGCUAAUACCGGAUAGGAGCUCGUGCUGCAUGGUGGGGGUUGGACAGUUUCGGCGGUUGGGGAUGGACUCGCGGCUUAUCAGCUUGUUGGUGGGGUAGUCGCUUACCAAGGCAUUGACGGGUAGCCGGCCUGAGAGGGUGACCGGCCACAUUGGGACUGAGAGACGGCCCAGACUCCUACGGGAGGCAGCAGUGGGGAAUAUUGCACAAUGGGCGGAAGCCUGAUGCAGCAACGCCGCGUGCGGGAUGACGGCCUUCGGGUUGUAAACCGCUGUCGCCUGUGACGAAGCGUGAGUGACGGUAAUGGGUAAAGAAGCACCGGCUAACUACGUG
RNAcentral lists this ribosomal RNA (468 nucleotides) under uncultured bacterium. RNAcentral's name for it is "partial 16S ribosomal RNA". It matches the Rfam family "Bacterial small subunit ribosomal RNA", at positions 28 to 507 of the family's 1533-position model. The record is from RNAcentral.